Molecule: long non-coding RNA, 766 nt
Organism: Drosophila obscura
Lineage: Eukaryota; Metazoa; Arthropoda; Insecta; Diptera; Drosophilidae
Exons: 3
Source: RefSeq, a predicted model, not a curated record
UGAUACACAUACGCACACCUAGAAAGUUAUUUUGUUUUUUUUGGUUUUGCUUUUAACUAUUUGUAGGUUACAGUAUUUUUGGAUUCUCUUCUGGAAUUAAUAUCCUAAUGCUUGCACGCUGCAGACUCAAAACCGAUUUCCCCUGAAUAUUUGGAAUUAAUUCUGUUGAAGAGACUGACGAAAGUCUCUAUCUAAAACUGAGAGACAUUUUUGCUUGGAAAUCUGAAAAAUGGACAGCGGCCUGCGGUCUGGUCAAAAUAGGAAUACAAUCUGCACUCUUUAAAUAAACUGUGUACGCUCCUGUACCCAUGCAGGCAAAGAGUAUCUUUUUUGGGUUACUGGUUUUGUUUGCCUUUGAGCAGGUUUUGGGUUUCCACGAAUCUGAUGCUGUUAUCGCGCCCAUUGUUUAUGCACACUAAUUAACUGUCAACUAGUAUAAAUAAUACAUAUUGUGUGGCCACAUAAUCCAUAAUUUAAUUAUGCCCCUGACGCCCAAAAUAUUUACUGCAAAUUGCAGUCAUCGGAUGCGUUGUUGAUUUGCUGUUUGGUCUUGCGUGAGGCGCGGCGGAUGAGGGAUCUAAAAAGGCAAUGCAUAUAGAUAUAAAGGGUGUAAAGAAAAAGGGAAACCAGAAUGCAGGCAUGUGUGUCACUCACCUGGAACGCGGCUUCAGUUUCGCCUCGGCACUGGUGCUGGCCACAUCUACAGCAUCGACGAGGCUGGAGGACUUCUUAUCGCCGCUGCCCCCAGCCCCGCCCAAUGCCGGAC